RNAcentral lists this ribosomal RNA (468 nucleotides) under uncultured bacterium. Its description in RNAcentral is "partial 16S ribosomal RNA". It matches the Rfam family "Bacterial small subunit ribosomal RNA", at positions 28 to 507 of the family's 1533-position model. The record is from RNAcentral.
GACGAACGCUGGCGGCGUGCUUAACACAUGCAAGUCGAACGGAAAGGCCCUGCUUUUGUGGGGUGCUCGAGUGGCGAACGGGUGAGUAACACGUGAGUAACCUGCCCUUGACUUUGGGAUAACUUCAGGCAACUGGGGCUAAUACCGGAUAGGAGCUCCUGCUGCAUGGUGGGGGUUGGACAGUUUCGGCGGUUGGGGAUGGACUCGCGGCUUAUCAGCUUGUUGGUGGGGUAGUGGCUUACCAAGGCUUUGACGGGUAGCCGGCCUGAGAGGGUGACCGGCCACAUUGGGACUGAGGUACGGCCCAGACUCCUACGGGAGGCAGCAGUGGGGAAUAUUGCACAAUGGGCGGAAGCCUGAUGCAGCAACGCCGCGUGCGGGAUGACGGCCUUCGGGUUGUAAACCGCUUUCGCCUGUGACGAAGCGUGAGUGACGGUAAUGGGUAAAGAAGCACCGGCUAACUACGUG